Molecule: ribosomal RNA, 510 nt
Filed under: uncultured bacterium
Lineage: Bacteria
Description: bacterial SSU rRNA
Rfam family: Bacterial small subunit ribosomal RNA
Source: RNAcentral
CUACGGGAGGCAGCAGUGGGGAAUCUUAGACAAUGGGCGCAAGCCUGAUCUAGCCAUGCCGCGUGAGUGAUGAAGGCCUUAGGGUCGUAAAGCUCUUUCGCCAGGGAUGAUAAUGACAGUACCUGGUAAAGAAACCCCGGCUAACUCCGUGCCAGCAGCCGCGGUAAUACGGAGGGGGUAAGCGUUGUUCGGAAUUACUGGGCGUAAAGCGUACGUAGGCGGAUCAGAAAGUUAGGGGUGAAAUCCCGAGGCUCAACCUCGGAACUGCCUCUAAAACUCCUGGUCUUGAGUUCGAGAGAGGUGAGUGGAAUUCCAAGUGUAGAGGUGAAAUUCGUAGAUAUUUGGAGGAACACCAGUGGCGAAGGCGGCUCACUGGCUCGAUACUGACGCUGAGGUACGAAAGUGUGGGGAGCAAACAGGAUUAGAUACCCUGGUAGUCCACACCGUAAACGAUGAAUGCCAGUCGUCGGGUAGCGUGCUCUUCGGUGACACACCUAACGGAUUAAGCAU